UUAAUGAGAGGCUUAACGUAAUCUGUAAUUUGGCUCUGGAUAAGGCAAGAAAUGCUUAAUUGCAUUUGUGUCUUUUUGUAGCUUAAAGUGGCAGCUACAGAGGUCCUUGCUCUAGACUGGGACUGUGAUAUAGAGGAAGGGAAAUUUUAAUGUGCUGUGUUUCUGGUGAAAAUUCCGCCCCCGCUGCCCCCACACUGCUAUUUGCUCUAGGAGGAAAAACAUAUGAUUGGCCAUAAGUCUUUUCUCCCAGGGCAUAUACCCGCCUUGGAAAGUGGUGAUUUUUGUUGGGAAAAUGGCUCAGAGGGGAAGGAUUAAAUCGGGAUUUGAACUCCUACAACUGCUCUUUGUCUACAUAUCAGUUGUCAGGGUCCCAAUCCCUCUGUUCUUUUCUGUUUAAGAGAAGAGUUGAGACUCUUAAACAUUCACUUGUGCACCAAAAAGUAUGGAUCAUUGCCCUCUUGCCUGUCCCUGCUCUUCUUUCUGGUCCUGCUCUAUGAGCCAUAUUUCAAGUUUUGGAUCUUUUAUAUGUAUCCCUCAAAUCUUGACCAACAAGGCACUGCUGGGGUUGCAUUUCUUUGGUUUUGGGGAGCUGCUGGGCUGCUUCUCUUCCUGGUAACCUUUUUUGGAGGUGGUAGCAUGUUCUAGAAUUGUUAGUCUAAGGAAUAAUAAGCAGAACAUUACUAGAAGGUUGUGACAGUUUUAGACAUAGACUGGUGGUGUGGUGGUCAGAGUGUUAUAUUAAGACUUGUGGUAGCAAGCAUGACUUGUCCCCUUAGCUAAGCAGAAUUUGCCCUGAUUGCAUAUGAAUGGGAGACUAGAAGUGUGAGCACUGUGAGAUAUUCCCUUCAGGGGAUGGAGCCGCUCUGGGAAAAGCAGAAGGUUUCAAGUUCCCUCCCUGGCUUCUCCAAGAUAGGACAAGAUCUUUUUUUUUAAUAGGACAAGAUUUUUUUUAUUGAACCAACAAACUACCAAAGCAUACACUUACUACCGCUGGCUGUUUCCUGCAUCCCACCCUCCUUGAAGAAGCACCACACUGUACUAUACUUGAUUAGUUUGUGAAGCCACAUGGUGCUAAGCACCACUGUUUAUCAGCUGAGAGAUGUCUCCCUACAUGAAUUCAUGGAUACUUCCACUGGAUCUUCUUCAAAUGAUUAGUUUGGAUUCAGAAUGGAUUCUUCAUGAUAUAUGCUUGUGUUGCAGCAGACAGCAUCUUAGAAGACACAUUCUCUGCUGUGUCUGAGAAAUGAAGUCAGGAUUCUUCUUAAAAUUGUGCCUACCACCUGCAGUUUUUGUACUAAUAUUAAACAUAGAUUGCAAAAGUUUAACAUCUGCUGUUCUAAAGAUGGACACCUUUACAAAUGAUUAAAAGUUUUUUAUUGGUUAGUUCGAUCAACCAGGUAUUAGAGAUCUAACAAUAACCCUUCCUUUGUUGCUUGAUGUUUUUAAUUUUCCUGUGUAAACAACUCUUGAACAAUUCUGUUCCCAAGAAACAGAAUUGCCUCUUGGCUUUGUAGACGAGAAUAAGGUUAUUAAGCAGAUGAUGUUUUUAAAAAAAGAUGAUGGUAAGAAGACAUAUUUUUAAAAUGAUGCUCAUGAUCAAACUAAGCCAUUAUUUCCCAUGAAACCCUGUGUGAUCUUCACAGAUGCUAAUGAUAACUCUGCUUUUUUCUCACUUUUACUAACUAACCCUUUAUCUGUUUGCCUGGUGGUUGUUAUUAUUUCUAUUGCAAAGCAAAAAAUAAAGACCUUUUCCAAGUUGUCUCAA
Long non-coding RNA from Hemicordylus capensis (graceful crag lizard), 1765 nucleotides. RefSeq lists it as uncharacterized. The record is from RefSeq and is a predicted model, not a curated record. The transcript is spliced from 4 exons. Lineage: Eukaryota; Metazoa; Chordata; Lepidosauria; Squamata; Cordylidae.